UGAGAAGGAAGAGAGGGAAGGGGAGUUUAGGAACUCCUAAGGCUCUCCCAGGUGGCAACAGCUGCUACAUUGUAUGUCCAUGAUGUCCAGCCUGGCAGCUGCUUUACUUCCCCAGAUUGGUUCUCUUCAAGAUGAAAGCUUGACAUUUAAGAAGUUGUAGGAAAUCUCACCUCCCAGCUUCCUGAGAUGAACACUGGGGACUGGAGCAAGGUCAUUGCUGUGUUCUGUAAAAAGGAAACUAAAAGGCAGAAGUUCCCUCAGGAGUUGGACAUCUAAAGAGCAAACCUGCAAUGACAUGUGAUAUGCCAGAGCCUCACAGAAGAAGAAGAGAGUGGCUGCCAUCCAGGAAACACUGAUUUCACUCUCUGUACAGAAAUCAACAAGUGGGCAGAUUCCAGGGGCUAUCAUGAAUUGCAUACCACGCCUCUUCUCUUGAUUUCCCAACCUUUCCAAAGAUGAAGCAUGUUUGGGUUCUGUCUGCCGUGCUCUGGAUACCACCUCGCCGAUUAGCACCGAGUGACUGUGGGACCCAGACACUGACAUCUCUGGUGCAAUGGGGAAUGUCCUGGGCUGGGGCUCAG
Melopsittacus undulatus (budgerigar) is the source of this 581-nucleotide long non-coding RNA. RefSeq lists it as uncharacterized. NCBI's taxonomy places the organism in Eukaryota, Metazoa, Chordata, Aves, Psittaciformes, Psittaculidae. The transcript is spliced from 4 exons. The record is from RefSeq and is a predicted model, not a curated record.